Molecule: ribosomal RNA, 540 nt
Filed under: Salmonella enterica
Lineage: Bacteria; Pseudomonadati; Pseudomonadota; Gammaproteobacteria; Enterobacterales; Enterobacteriaceae
Description: bacterial SSU rRNA
Rfam family: Bacterial small subunit ribosomal RNA
Source: RNAcentral
GAACUUUCCAGAGAUGGAUUGGUGCCUUCGGGAACUGUGAGACAGGUGCUGCAUGGCUGUCGUCAGUUCGUGUUGUGAAAUGUUGGGUUAAGUCCCGCAACGAGCGCAACCCUUAUCCUUUGUUGCCAGCGAUUCGGUCGGGAACUCAAAGGAGACUGCCAGUGAUAAACUGGAGGAAGGUGGGGAUGACGUCAAGUCAUCAUGGCCCUUACGACCAGGGCUACACACGUGCUACAAUGGCGCAUACAAAGAGAAGCGACCUCGCGAGAGCAAGCGGACCUCAUAAAGUGCGUCGUAGUCCGGAUUGGAGUCUGCAACUCGACUCCAUGAAGUCGGAAUCGCUAGUAAUCGUGGAUCAGAAUGCCACGGUGAAUACGUUCCCGGGCCUUGUACACACCGCCCGUCACACCAUGGGAGUGGGUUGCAAAAGAAGUAGGUAGCUUAACCUUCGGGAGGGCGCUUACCACUUUGUGAUUCAUGACUGGGGUGAAGUCGUAACAAGGUAACCGUAGGGGAACCUGCGGUUGGAUCACCUCCUUA